AGAGUUUGAUCAUGGCUCAGAAUGAACGCUGGCGGCGUGCCUAACACAUGCAAGUCGAGCGAGAAAGCCCUUCGGGGUGAGUAAAGCGGCGGACGGUUGAGUAACACGUGAGAAUCUGCCCUUUAGUGAAGAAUACCUCGGAGAAAUCCGAGUUAAUACUGCAUAAGUCCCUUCGGGGAGAAAGAUGGCCUCUUUGCUGU
RNAcentral lists this ribosomal RNA (200 nucleotides) under uncultured bacterium. RNAcentral describes it as "partial 16S ribosomal RNA". It matches the Rfam family "Bacterial small subunit ribosomal RNA", at positions 8 to 221 of the family's 1533-position model. The record is from RNAcentral.